RNAcentral lists this ribosomal RNA (253 nucleotides) under uncultured bacterium. RNAcentral's name for it is "partial 16S ribosomal RNA". It matches the Rfam family "Bacterial small subunit ribosomal RNA", at positions 524 to 776 of the family's 1533-position model. The record is from RNAcentral.
UACGUAGGGUGCGAGCGUUAAUCGGAAUUACUGGGCGUAAAGCGUGCGCAGGCGGUUAUAUAAGACAGAUGUGAAAUCCCCGGGCUCAACCUGGGAACUGCAUUUGUGACUGCAAGGCUAGAGUGCGGCAGAGGGAGAUGGAAUUCCGCGUGUAGCAGUGAAAUGCGUAGAUAUGCGGAGGAACACCGAUGGCGAAGGCAAUCUCCUGGGCCUGCACUGACGCUCAUGCACGAAAGCGUGGGGAGCAAACAGG